CGCCGAAACCCGGACUUGAGCCGGGUCUGCCCAGGAUGACGCCCUGGGCACUGACGAGGCAAGUCAGU
This 68-nucleotide non-coding RNA is filed under the name Ardenticatenia bacterium. Lineage: Bacteria; Bacillati; Chloroflexota; Ardenticatenia. The record is from RNAcentral.